This 909-nucleotide ribosomal RNA is filed under the name uncultured bacterium. Its description in RNAcentral is "bacterial SSU rRNA". It matches the Rfam family "Bacterial small subunit ribosomal RNA", at positions 11 to 916 of the family's 1533-position model. The record is from RNAcentral.
GUUUGAUCCUGGCUCAGAUUGAACGCUGGCGGCAUGCCUUACACAUGCAAGUCGAACGGCAGCGCGGGGCAACCUGGCGGCGAGUGGCGAACGGGUGAGUAAUAUAUCGGAACGUACCCUGGAGUGGGGGAUAACGUAGCGAAAGUUACGCUAAUACCGCAUACGAUCUAAGGAUGAAAGUGGGGGAUUCGCAAGAACCUCAUGCUCCUGGAGCGGCCGAUAUCUGAUUAGCUAGUUGGUAGGGUAAAAGCCUACCAAGGCUUCGAUCAGUAGCUGGUCUGAGAGGACGACCAGCCACACUGGAACUGAGACACGGUCCAGACUCCUACGGGAGGCAGCAGUGGGGAAUUUUGGACAAUGGGCGCAAGCCUGAUCCAGCAAUGCCGCGUGAGUGAAGAAGGCCUUCGGGUUGUAAAGCUCUUUUGUCAGGGAAGAAACGGUGAGGGCUAAUAUCCCUUGCUAAUGACGGUACCUGAAGAAUAAGCACCGGCUAACUACGUGCCAGCAGCCGCGGUAAUACGUAGGGUGCAAGCGUUAAUCGGAAUUACUGGGCGUAAAGCGUGCGCAGGCGGUUUUGUAAGUUUGUCGUGAAAGCCCCGGGCUCAACCUGGGAAUUGCGAUGAAGACUGCAAGGCUUGAAUCUGGCAGAGGGGGGUAGAAUUCCACGUGUAGCAGUGAAAUGCGUAGAGAUGUGGAGGAACACCGAUGGCGAAGGCAGCCCCCCGGGUCAAGAUUGACGCUCAUGCACGAAAGCGUGGGGAGCAAACAGGAUUAGAUACCCUGGUAGUCCACGCCCUAAACGAUGUCUACUAGUUGUCGGGUUUUAAUUAACUUGGUAACGCAGCUAACGCGUGAAGUAGACCGCCUGGGGAGUACGGUCGCAAGAUUAAAACUCAAAGGAAUUGACGG